Molecule: ribosomal RNA, 616 nt
Filed under: uncultured Legionella sp.
Lineage: Bacteria; Pseudomonadati; Pseudomonadota; Gammaproteobacteria; Legionellales; Legionellaceae
Description: bacterial SSU rRNA
Rfam family: Bacterial small subunit ribosomal RNA
Source: RNAcentral
UAGCUAGUUGGUAGGGUAAAGGCCUACCAAGGCGACGAUCGGUAGCUGGUCUGAGAGGAUGGCCAGCCACACUGGAACUGAGACACGGUCCAGACUCCUACGGGAGGCAGCAGUGGGGAAUAUUGGACAAUGGGGGCAACCCUGAUCCAGCAAUGCCGCGUGUGUGAAGAAGGCCUGAGGGUUGUAAAGCACUUUCAGUGGGGAGGAGGGUUGAUAGGUUAAGAGCUGAUUAACUGGACGUUACCCACAGAAGAAGCACCGGCUAACUCCGUGCCAGCAGCCGCGGUAAUACGGAGGGUGCGAGCGUUAAUCGGAAUUACUGGGCGUAAAGGGUGCGUAGGUGGUUGAUUAAGUUAUCUGUGAAAUCCCUGGGCUCAACCUGGGCAGGUCAGAUAAGACUGGUUAACUCGAGUAUGGGAGAGGGUAGUGGAAUUUCCGGUGUAGCGGUGAAAUGCGUAGAGAUCGGAAGGAACACCAGUGGCGAAGGCGGCUACCUGGCCUAAUACUGACACUGAGGCACGAAAGCGUGGGGAGCAAACAGGAUUAGAUACCCUGGUAGUCCACGCUGUAAACGAUGUCAACUAGCUGUUGGUUAUAUGAAUAUAAUUAGUGGCGC